CUCCCCUGUCUGUCGUGGCUCGCUCCGGAUCCCUCGCCGUCUUGCCAUCAGUCCGCCCUCCAGCUGCUAACCACCAGCCAUCCUUGUGAACACUCGGCCUCAGAGUUUCCCUCACCUUCCCCUCCCCGGUUAGGUUCACUCAACUAAACGUUCCUCCGGCAUUGACGUUCAGACCUCGACGGAUCUCCACACCCGUGAGAUCCAUGUACCUGAACCCUUUAAUAAACACUUUUAAACUGCACUCUGUCUUCUGUAUUGUGUCUGCAUGUGGGCAAGACAUAUAAAAACCAUGACACUUAUGUGCAUAUGGAUGUGGAUGAAUCAAUGUAUUAUGAUCAUGUUUAGAAUAAAUGCUGUGAUUUUCA
Fundulus heteroclitus (mummichog) is the source of this 365-nucleotide long non-coding RNA. RefSeq lists it as uncharacterized. Lineage: Eukaryota; Metazoa; Chordata; Actinopteri; Cyprinodontiformes; Fundulidae. The record is from RefSeq and is a predicted model, not a curated record. The transcript has 2 exons.